Molecule: ribosomal RNA, 1069 nt
Filed under: uncultured bacterium
Lineage: Bacteria
Description: bacterial SSU rRNA
Rfam family: Bacterial small subunit ribosomal RNA
Source: RNAcentral
CAGGGCGCGCCCGCACUAUGUGAUUAGUUUGAUCCUGGCUCAGAACGAACGCUGGCGGCGUGCUUAACACAUGCAAGUCGAGUGCGCGUCUGUAGCAAUACAGAUGGCGCACGGCGCACGGGUGCGUAACACGUGGGCAAUCUGCCCUUCGAUGGGGAAUAACUCCGGGAAACCGAAGCUAAUUCCGCAUAACAUUCCUUGGACUUCGGUUCGAGGAUUCAAAGCCGUAAGGCGUCGAAGGAGGAGCCCGCGCCCGAUUAGCUAGUUGGUGAGGUAAUGGCUCACCAAGGCAAUGAUCGGUAGCUGGUCUGAGAGGAUGGCCAGCCACACUGGAACUGAGACACGGUCCAGACUCCUACGGGAGGCAGCAGUGGGGAAUCUUGCGCAAUGAGCGAAAGCCUGACGCAGCGACGCCGCGUGGGGGAUGAAGCAUCUCGGUGUGUAAACCCCUUUCGACUGGGACGAAUGCCUCGCAAGAGGAGUGACGGUACCAGUAGAAGAAGCCCCGGCUAACUACGUGCCAGCAGCCGCGGUAAGACGUAGGGGGCCAGCGUUGUUCGGAAUUACUGGGUGUAAAGGGUUCGUAGGCGGUGUGGCAAGUCGGGAGUGAAAUCUAUGGGCUUAACUCAUAGGCUGCUUCCGAAACUGCUGUGCUUGAGUGUGGGAGAGGCGCGUGGAAUUGCAGGUGUAGCGGUGAAAUGCGUAGAUAUCUGCAGGAACACCCGUGGCGAAAGCGGCGCGCUGGACCACAACUGACGCUGAGGAACGAAAGCUAGGGGAGCAAACAGGAUUAGAUACCCUGGUAGUCCUAGCCCUAAACGAUCAGGACUUGGGGUGCCGCACGUUCGUGCGUCGUCCCGGAGCUAACGCGUUAAGUCCUGCACCUGGGGAGUACGGUCGCAAGACUGAAACUCAAAGGAAUUGACGGGGGCCCGCACAAGCGGUGGAACAUGUGUUCAAUUCGACGCUACGGCGAGGAACUUACCUGGCUCGAAGCGCACUUGACUAGCUGUAGAAUACGGCCUUCUCGCAGGAGACAGUGUGGAGGCGCUGCAUGGCUGUCGUCAGC